Long non-coding RNA from Symphalangus syndactylus (siamang), 1263 nucleotides. RefSeq lists it as uncharacterized. Lineage: Eukaryota; Metazoa; Chordata; Mammalia; Primates; Hylobatidae. The record is from RefSeq and is a predicted model, not a curated record.
GAUUUUUAAAAGGGGGCCGGGGCCUGAGCUUUAAAAGGGGUGGGGCUGACUUUAAAAGGGGGCGGGGCCAGAAGGGAGAGAGUUCAUUUCUUUUCCAGGGAGUACUGAGGCCCAGCCCAUCAGUGCCCACGCUACACAAGAUGUGCUAGACAGUCGCUUCCUAAGCCAACAUCAAAUCACUGAUAUUCUUUCAGGAAAAGGCUCCUCUUGCCCCCUUUCCCACGAGAAGGAGAAAGCCUGGAGGCCCGGGUUGGCACACCACCCUCCCAGGAGCCAGGGCAGGAGCCAGCUGUGCGGAGGCCUGUGUCCAGGGUCACGGUCAUCUCAGGGACUGCCGCUGCCACAGUCACCAGGCUGUAGGGCUCGAGGCCUGGCUUGGCAGGUUCCUUAACUGGGAAGUGCAGGUUGCUUGGAAACAGCAGCCUGGCACUGGAGUGAUCUCAUAAAACAAACAGCAGAGAUGCUAAUUCCCUUCUCUCAGUAAUGAAUAAUCAAAUACCCAGAGACUUCGGCCGAAAAUAAACCACCUCCGGAUGCCAGGCCUGACCCAGCUCCACCCGGGCCCUCCCAGGCCUGCAGCCCCGGGGGCCUCAGGCAUCAGUUCCUGAUGCUGGGGAGGGAAGGUGGUGGGCAGCAGAUUCACGGCCAGGCCUGUGGAGCUGAGACCAGAACAGGGGACAGCCAGGUCCAAGUGACAAAGAUAAACUGUGACAGCGUUUCCAGCAAGACUUGCUCUCUUCUACCCUCCUGAGGGAUGAGAAGAUGCCCCCCAGGCCACUCAGCUCAGAGGCAGCACUGAGAUGCGGUGAGUUCCCGAGGUCUCAGGGGAGCAGUCCUCAUGCCCCCAACUCGGCUCUGUUCACUGAGGGACAGGAGACUGGAAGCCCAGCAAGGAGCCUUCAUUCCAGGGCUGGUUCCACAGAGCACCCUCCAGGACAGAGACGGAGCACCCUCAGCUCCGUCAGGGACAGAGAGGGGGCACCCUCUGGGACGGAGACGGUGCUCCCACAGAAGCGCCCAUCCACACCACCCCUAGAAGGACCUAUCCACACAGCCCGUCUCCACCACCCCCAGAAGCGCCCAUCCACACAGCCCGUCUCCACCACCCCCAGAAGCGCCCAUCCACACAGCCCGUCUCCACCACCCCCAGAAGCGCCCAUCCACACAGCCCGUCUCCACCACCCCUAGAAGUGCCCAUCCACACAGCCCGUCUCCACCACCCCUAGAAGCGCCCAUCCACACAGCCCGUCUCCACCACCCCUA